GUGCUUGCUUCGGCAGCACAUAUACUAAAAUUGGAACGAUACAGAGAAAUUAGCAUGGCCCCUGCGCAAGGAUGACACGCAACUUUGUUCAUUUUUCUU
This 99-nucleotide small nuclear RNA is filed under the name Octodon degus (degu). The record is from RNAcentral. Lineage: Eukaryota; Metazoa; Chordata; Mammalia; Rodentia; Octodontidae.